GGGAAUAAAAUAUCUCAUCUUCUACACACCGCUUUCCCCUUUAUCUCCUCCGUCUCUCUCGACCUGUCUCUGCCCCCAAAAUCCCUACAUGGCAUGACCUCCACCACCGCCUCCUCAAAAGAUAGCAGCAGCAGAGCGCUCCCGCCUCUGGUGGCCGCGUUCGCACCGUUUCUCCUACAUGCGAGGCCUGCUGCACUGUAGCGGGAGAGCUGCAGCGCCGUUGCGUGGCCGCUGUACUCGCCGACGCCGGACGCUCCACCAGCUUCGCGCCGUGAGCAUAUUCACGGGAGGUUAUCUUCGCUCCGAUGGACUCCGGCGCUCCAUGCCAUGGCGUCGCGAGAGGUUGGGCAGACGGAAGAGUGGAUUGAUCGAUUUUUUAAUCUUCUUAGAUUUGGCAUCGGAGCAAGUACGUGCUCCGGUUCCAAAAUAUUUGGCUUUGGCAUCGGUGUCACAGUGUUGAAAAACGGUGCCAAAUGCCAAAUCUCUAUUUGGCACCCCUAUUUGGCUUACACCGUGGAAGCCUAAAAGGACUUUUGUCGAGGAAAAACAACUUGUUCGGUGGGAUGGGCAUUGUGUCCAGGGCUUUAGGCCCCUUUCUAAAUUGCUGAAAUUUUGGUGAAACUGAAGUUCAUUUAGUUUUUGGUUUCCAUUCCGCAAAGGUACCUACGUACAAGCGAUGCAGCUUAAAACAGGCGACAUCGGGAACAAACACGUCUACGUUUCCAUUCUGCGAAGGUACGCACACAACAUGAGUACAAGCUAUGCCAUCCGAUCUCUGAAUCCUCAUUCUUUCCUCCCAAUGCCGUGAGCCAUGUUGUAGAUCCCACGCCCCUGCGCGUGAACACCAAACGGGAACACGGCAUAGCAUCAGCACAAGUGCCCGACCAAAACAGGAAGAAAUAAACACACAGUGAAAGUGAAAUACUCGAACUUAUGCAG
This 939-nucleotide long non-coding RNA is filed under the name Brachypodium distachyon (stiff brome). RNAcentral describes it as "long non-coding RNA (BDIS_LNC001951)". The record is from RNAcentral. Lineage: Eukaryota; Viridiplantae; Streptophyta; Magnoliopsida; Poales; Poaceae.